ACCUGGCGGCGAGUGGCGAACGGGUGAGUAAUAUAUCGGAACGUACCCUGGAGUGGGGGAUAACGUAGCGAAAGUUACGCUAAUACCGCAUACGAUCUAAGGAUGAAAGUGGGGGAUCGCAAGACCUCAUGCUCCUGGAGCGGCCGAUAUCUGAUUAGCUAGUUGGUAGGGUAAAAGCCUACCAAGGCAUCGAUCAGUAGCUGGUCUGAGAGGACGACCAGCCACACUGGAACUGAGACACGGUCCAGACUCCUACGGGAGGCAGCAGUGGGGAAUUUUGGACAAUGGGCGCAAGCCUGAUCCAGCAAUGCCGCGUGAGUGAAGAAGGCCUUCGGGUUGUAAAGCUCUUUUGUCAGGGAAGAAACGGCCUGUUCUAAUACAGCGGGCUAAUGACGGUACCUGAAGAAUAAGCACCGGCUAACUACGUGCCAGCAGCCGCGGUAAUACGUAGGGUGCAAGCGUUAAUCGGAAUUACUGGGCGUAAAGCGUGCGCAGGCGGUUUUGUAAGUUUGUCGUGAAAUCCCCGGGCUCAACCUGGGAAUGGCGAUGAAGACUGCAAGGCUAGAGUUUGGCAGAGGGGGGUAGAAUUCCACGUGUAGCA
This 601-nucleotide ribosomal RNA is filed under the name uncultured bacterium. RNAcentral describes it as "bacterial SSU rRNA". It matches the Rfam family "Bacterial small subunit ribosomal RNA", at positions 83 to 680 of the family's 1533-position model. The record is from RNAcentral.